Molecule: ribosomal RNA, 496 nt
Filed under: uncultured bacterium
Lineage: Bacteria
Description: partial 16S ribosomal RNA
Rfam family: Bacterial small subunit ribosomal RNA
Source: RNAcentral
GACGAACGCUGGCGGCGUGCCUAAUACAUGCAAGUCGAGCGAACAGACGUGGUGCUUGUACCUCCGGCAUGAGCGGCGAACGGGUGAGUAACACGUGGAGAAUCUCCCUUUAAGAGUGGGACAACAUCUGGAAACGGGAGCUAAUACCGCAUAAAAACUUGAACCACAUGUUUUAAGAUUGAAAGAUGCAAUUGCAUCAACCAAUAAUGAUAUCGCGUUCGAUUAGCUAGUUGGUAAGGUAAAGGCCUACCAAGGCAAUGGUGCGUAGCCGACCUGAGAGGGUGAUCGGCCACACUGGAACUGAGACACGGUCCAGACUCCUACGGGAGGCAGCAGUAGGGAAUCUUCCGCAAUGGGCGAAAGCCUGACGGAGAAACGCCGCGUGAGUGAUGAAGGUCUUCGGAUCGUAAAACUCUGUUAUUAGGGAAGAACGAGUGUGUAAGUAACUGUGCACGUCUUGACGGUACCUAAUCAGAAAGCCACGGCUAACUACGUG